UGGGAUGUAGCUCAGUGAUUGAGUGCUUAUCUAGCAUCUAGGAUGCCCUGGGUCCAAUCCCUAGCCUUUCAA
Molecule: transfer RNA, 72 nt
Filed under: Marmota monax (woodchuck)
Lineage: Eukaryota; Metazoa; Chordata; Mammalia; Rodentia; Sciuridae
Rfam family: tRNA
About the family: Transfer RNA (tRNA) molecules are approximately 80 nucleotides in length. Their secondary structure includes four short double-helical elements and three loops (D, anti-codon, and T loops). Further hydrogen bonds mediate the characteristic L-shaped molecular structure. tRNAs have two regions of fundamental functional importance: the anti-codon, which is responsible for specific mRNA codon recognition, and the 3' end, to which the tRNAs corresponding amino acid is attached (by aminoacyl-tRNA synthetases). tRNAs cope with the degeneracy of the genetic code in two manners: having more than one tRNA (with a specific anti-codon) for a particular amino acid; and 'wobble' base-pairing, i.e. permitting non-standard base-pairing at the 3rd anti-codon position.
Source: Rfam by way of RNAcentral